This 253-nucleotide ribosomal RNA is filed under the name uncultured bacterium. RNAcentral describes it as "partial 16S ribosomal RNA". It matches the Rfam family "Bacterial small subunit ribosomal RNA", at positions 524 to 776 of the family's 1533-position model. The record is from RNAcentral.
UACGUAGGGUGCAAGCGUUGUCCGGAAUUAUUGGGCGUAAAGAGCUCGUAGGCGGUCUGUCGCGUCGGAUGUGAAAACCCAGGGCUCAACCCUGGGCCUGCAUUCGAUACGGGCAGACUAGAGUUCGGUAGGGGAGACUGGAAUUCCUGGUGUAGCGGUGAAAUGCGCAGAUAUCAGGGGGAACACCGGUGGCGAAGGCGGGUCUCUGGGCAAUAACUGACGCUGAGGAGCGAAAGCGUGGGGAGCGAACAGG